CGGGGUGCAGCAGGCGUGAAAACUCUGCAAUAGGCGAAAGCUUGACAGGGUUACUGUGAGUGAUGUCCGUUAAGGGCAUCUUUUGGCACCUUUAAAAAUGGUGCAGAAUAAGGGGUGGGCAAGUCUGGUGUCAGCCGCCGCGGUAAUACCAGCACCCCGAGUGGUCGGGACGAUUAUUGGGCCUAAAGCAUCCGUAGCUUGUCCUGCAAGUCUUCCGUUAAAUCCACCUGCUCAACAGAUGGGCUGCGGAGGAUACUACAGGGCUAGGAGGCGGGAGAGGCAAGCGGUACUCAGUGGGUAGGGGUAAAAUCCUCUGAUCCACUGAAGACCACCAGUGGCGAAGGCGGCUUGCCAGAACGCGCUCGACGGUGAGGGAUGAAAGCUGGGGGAGCAAACCGGAUUAGAUACCCGGGUAGUCCCAGCUGUAAACGAUGCAGACUCGGUGAUGGGUUGGCUUCGAGCCAACCCACAGCCGCAGGGAAGCCGUUAAGUCUGCCGCCUGGGGAGUACGGUCGCAAGCCUGAAACAUAAAGGAAUUGGCGGGGGAGCA
Molecule: ribosomal RNA, 550 nt
Filed under: uncultured archaeon
Lineage: Archaea
Description: bacterial SSU rRNA
Rfam family: Archaeal small subunit ribosomal RNA
Source: RNAcentral